Long non-coding RNA from Struthio camelus australis, 758 nucleotides. Lineage: Eukaryota; Metazoa; Chordata; Aves; Struthioniformes; Struthionidae. The record is from Ensembl.
CACUUUACUUAGCUUUCUUUCGAAAAUGCGCAAUGUUAGAGGUUGCUGAAUCCUGUGGGCUCUAGGACCCAUGAGCCAGGAUUGAUAAGAGGCUGCAGCGGUUUCAUGUCCCCAGGAACAGCCAGAAGCAAAGCUGUAAUUCUAGUUUCGUAUGGAUGGAGAACAAGAGAGUCUAUGAAUCAACUGGAAUUCAGAGUUUUUGCUCAAAUGUCUGAUGGCAUCCACAAUUUCACAUUGCUAGAAAACUCAUCCCAUCUCAGCAGAGACCUUGGAAUGGAUCCUGAAUAAAAUCAUAGUACUGAAUUUCCCAUGCCUUGCUCAAAAAGCUUUUCUUCAUGUUGCAAUAUUCAGCAGAAAAGACAAGAUCCAAAGGAACAAACAACAAUGAGCUAAAAAGCACCGUAGAAACGCAGUCCUGUAGCGUUGAGCAAUUUAUCUGGAUGUACUCACAGUUCUGCCAGAAGUAUUUAAUGUUUUUUUUUCUUUUAACUGCAUCUGAAACUACAGCUGAAAAGAAUGUAUAAUAGAUUGUACUACAUACUUUCAUUUUAUUUUCCAUAAGGACAAAUUAUAAUAGCUUAGCUACAGUAGAACACAUAGGAGGUUGAUUUUUUUUUAAUUAAUUUCUGAUAUUUGGUAUUGCAUACUUAUAGCUUCUCAGUUUGUUUAAAUUAAAUAAUUUUAAUGCUGAACUCAGCAAAUAGAGUGCUAUUAACCAUGGGAAUAAAUAUUUGGAAGCUGAGGUUUUUAAAAUUGCA